Molecule: RNA transcript, 1356 nt
Organism: Solenopsis invicta (red fire ant)
Lineage: Eukaryota; Metazoa; Arthropoda; Insecta; Hymenoptera; Formicidae
Exons: 6
Source: RefSeq, a predicted model, not a curated record
AUUGUACUUUAUUGUACUUUAGUAUCUAUAACAUAGUUAAAUUUAUUUCAUAAUAUUUUUUAUUUUUGUUACAUAAUACAAUCGUAUAACGGGAAAAUUUUCAAUUGCUGAAUUCGAGGACGGAAUCCAACGAUGGGAAGAUUUUCAAUUAUUGAAUUUAAGGACAGGAUCCAACUUACUCCCACAUCAUGGAUUUAUGAUGAAAAUAGAAAAUGUUGUACAUAUACAGACGGCAUGAGAAAAUUGAAUCUUUAGCAACUAUCAACGUCACCAAACAAUUCUCCGAUGUUGAUAGUGCUAGAAAAAAUAACAAUGAAAAAAAAAUAUCUAAACGUGAACGAGCAAAGAAAAAAAAUUUCACGUCCUCUGAUUCGGAUUCAGAUUCUGAUCAUGCAUCUUCUGACGACAACAUAAUCAAUACAAUGACGACAACACCAUCUGAUAAUGGCGACAUCCAAACAAUAAAAAAACAAUAUAGAUUAGGUGCUUUAAAUACGUCGACAAAACAAAAGAAUGUGCUAAGGCCAUCUAUUGACAAAAUCCGCAAUCACUUAGUUGCCAAUAUUAUGAUUAGUCUUUGUUUAUAUUACUUUCCUGUAUGUUUGCAUUCAAAAAAUUUAAAAUUUGUUUCUUCUUGUGCAGAUUUUCAAAAACAAACUCUUCGUAAAUUCAAUGUUACUUUGCAUAAAUUAUACAGUAGAAAAUUGAAUGGAGAUUCAUAAAGAACAAUGUGGUUCAAUUUGUGAUAGACGCGAGACUGUUUUCAAUGCUGAAGAGAAAGAGUUGCCUAUAUGCAACGAAUUAGCACUUGAUGCUCUAGAAGAGAAGCUGAAGGAUAAAAAAUAUUUUGAUAGCACGGUACACAUGUUGAAAACCCUAGGAGGUGUUGAUAUGCAUUCUUGCACUUUUAAUAUGCUUAAAAAAUUAAUAGCUAAUCCAUUGGCAAAAAUAUAUAACUUGGCUGGAAUGAAAAAAAAAUCUUCCAGGAUAAUGCUGUGCAAAAUCAUAAUUAAAACUGUUCGUAUCCAUUACAAGAAUGUGACUGAGGAGCAGAUUUCAAAAUGUAUAGCAAAAUGGCUAGCACAGACUAAAGCUCAUCGAGAGAGAAAAUAUGUAUAAGACUUGAUAUAUGUAUAUACGUAUAUAUACAUAUGUAUAUGUGUAUAUAUAUAUAUAUAUAUAUAUAUAUAUAUAUAUAUAUAUAUAUAUAUAUAUAUAGGGUUGGGAAAGUUACUUUGUAAAAAAUAACUAGUUAUAGUUACAGUUCCCUUUUUCCAAAAAUUAACUAGUUACCGUUAUAAGUUACUGACGUUAAAAAAUAACUCGUUACAGUUACUUGUUAUAGUUAUAGUUAUU